UAUUCGAUAAAGAUGGAGACGGUUUGAUUAUUCUCUCUCUAUAUAUAUUUCUAGAUCUAGCAUUCAUUUUGUUGUUUGUGUCUGUUUUAGUCCUAUUUUCCGUAUUUUUCUUUGAUUUUUUUUCUUGUGGAUAUUUUACUGUUCUUUUACUGUUCUCAUGCGAUGUGUUUUUGGGUUUUCUUCAGCUCGAUUUGGGAUAGAUGGUUCAAUAAUUUUUUCUUAUUUGAGCGCUGUUUUGAAUUUUUUUUGGGGUAUGCAAAACUGUUUUUUCCAAUUGUGUUGCCUGAGAUAGAAAGGAAGACAUUACUAAAUAUUGGACUCGAUUAAUAAGAUUAAAUUACAAAAUGUCUCCCGUUAUUUCUUAAAAUUCUUACUUUUAAAAUAAAAUUGAAUUAAAUGAUUUAAUUUUUUUUCAAAAAAUAUAUAUUUUUUUGUUUCAAAAUUUAAGUGUGAAUUUUGCAAAAUGUUUAGCGAUUUUGUAAUUUUAACCCUGAAAAUCAAUAACCACUUUCAAGGUUGAUUGUACUUAAACAAGCAUGUUGCCUUCUCUUUGGGUUUUUUUUUCUUUUCUUUUAUUUAUUUAUUUAUU
RNAcentral lists this unclassified non-coding RNA (589 nucleotides) under Hevea brasiliensis (rubber tree). The record is from RNAcentral. Lineage: Eukaryota; Viridiplantae; Streptophyta; Magnoliopsida; Malpighiales; Euphorbiaceae.